GACGAUCCCUAGCUGGUCUGAGAGGAUGACCAGCCACACUGGAACUGAGACACGGUCCAGACUCCUACGGGAGGCAGCAGUGGGGAAUAUUGCACAAUGGGCGCAAGCCUGAUGCAGCCAUGCCGCGUGUGUGAAGAAGGCCUUCGGGUUGUAAAGCACUUUCAGCGGGGAGGAAGGCGAUAAGGUUAAUAACCUUGGCGAUUGACGUUACCCGCAGAAGAAGCACCGGCUAACUCCGUGCCAGCAGCCGCGGUAAUACGGAGGGUGCAAGCGUUAAUCGGAAUUACUGGGCGUAAAGCGCACGCAGGCGGUCUGUCAAGUCGGAUGUGAAAUCCCCGGGCUCAACCUGGGAACUGCAUUCGAAACUGGCAGGCUAGAGUCUUGUAGAGGGGGGUAGAAUUCCAGGUGUAGCGGUGAAAUGCGUAGAGAUCUGGAGGAAUACCGGUGGCGAAGGCGGCCCCCUGGACAAAGACUGACGCUCAGGUGCGAAAGCGUGGGGAGCAAACAGGAAAAGAUACCCUGGUAGUCCACGCCGUAAACGAUGUCGAUUUGGAGGUUGUGCCCUUGAGGCGUGGCUUCCGGAGCUAACGCGUUAAAUCGACCGCCUGGGGAGUACGGCCGCAAGGUUAAAACUCAAAUGAAUUGACGGGGGCCCGCACAAGCGGUGGAGCAUGUGGUUUAAUUCGAUGCAACGCGAAGAACCUUACCUGGUCUUGACAUCCACAGAACUUUCCAAGAGUGGAUUGGUGCCUUCGGGAACUGUGAGACAGGUGCUGCAUGGCUGUCGUCAGCUCGUGUUGUGAAAUGUUGGGUUAAGUCCCGCAACGAGCGCAACCCUUAUCCUUUGUUGCCAGCGGUUCGGCCGGGAACUCAAAGGAGACUGCCAGUGAUAAACUGGAGGAAGGUGGGGAUGACGUCAAGUCAUCAUGGCCCUUACGACCGGCUACACACGUGCUACAAUGGCAUAUACAAAGAGAAGCGACCUCGCGAGAGCAAGCGGACCUCAUAAAGUAUGUCGUAGUCCGGAUUGGAGUCUGCAACUCGACUCCAUGAA
RNAcentral lists this ribosomal RNA (1054 nucleotides) under Klebsiella pneumoniae. RNAcentral's name for it is "bacterial SSU rRNA". It matches the Rfam family "Bacterial small subunit ribosomal RNA", at positions 275 to 1324 of the family's 1533-position model. The record is from RNAcentral. Lineage: Bacteria; Pseudomonadati; Pseudomonadota; Gammaproteobacteria; Enterobacterales; Enterobacteriaceae.